AUUAGUUGAACAACCAUUAGUAAUGCUAAGGAUGACCACCGUGUUAAAGUGAUGACAAUCUGCUUCUCAUUGGACAAUUGUGCUAGAAGCAUUAUCUCAUCAACCAUUAACCUAAUCAUUUCCAGAACUAAUAAUUUCAUUAGAGUUGCAGAAUGACCAAUGUCUAAUUCUGUUACUCCUACAUUAUAAUUGACAUUCUUCUGUAAAGAAGAGCCUUCCUUCAUCAACUGAAGCUAUUUGGGUAUUCUCAAAGGCAAAUUUUACAAAUUUUACAGGAAAGGAAAGAGAAAUGCUUAAUUUAUUUGUAUUUAGUUACCAGUUUUCUUUUUUUUUUUUUUUUUUUCCAAUUUGAGAGCAGGUACUGUUUAUUAACCAACCAGCUUAGAGAAAUAGUCAUGGUAGACACCUUAGUUCAUUCUUCUAAUAAGCCUGUUGAUCUGGUCCUCCCUGUUGCCAGCAUCUCCACCUUCUACAAAAUGGGUGGUCUUUUUCUUCAUUCCACCUCGUGGAGAAGACAAUUUGAAGGGCCACAGGAAGUUAUUUGCCUCUUUGAAGCGUUUUCCAACAGUAUAGAUCUCAUGAAUCAGAUCCUCCAUGCAGAUGAUGCCAUAUUUACCAAGAGAUCGAGCAAUCAAAGCGUUAUCUGUCAAAGCAAUUCGCUUCUUAUUGAUUUUGCCAUAACCACUCUUGUAGAUUAGUUCAUUUACUGACUUCAGAUUGGGGUACCCCCAUGCAAUAUAUGGCUCUACAAUCCUCAGCAUGUUAGUCGAAGCCUUGUUGAGCUUCACAAAGGUUCCAUUGUAGAUUUGACGAAGGCGAAGAAGCUGCAACACCUUUCGGACCUUUGGGCUCACGCCACUGAUACCUCUGAUUCUGAUGACAAAUGCCAGUUUGGGUUCUGCAGGUACAAAGUAGUUGCCAGCUUUUCUUGCCAUCCUCGCCAUUCGAAUUUCAGUUCUGUACAUCUGCCUAUAUUCCCUGUGAUAGUGCUUUGCUUUUUCAUAGAUAAGCUUCCUCCUUGCCUUUCGAAGCAUCUUUUGGGCAAACUUCUUUCUCAGGCGCUUCAUCUUCAGCUCUGAGAAAUUCCUUCGCUUUUUCUUAAGGGUUUCUGGCACAGCAGGAACCUUCUUCUUCUCUUCUACACCCACCAUGGUUCCAGC
This 1160-nucleotide long non-coding RNA is filed under the name Homo sapiens (human). Its description in RNAcentral is "non-protein coding lnc-THAP5-1:1". The record is from RNAcentral. Lineage: Eukaryota; Metazoa; Chordata; Mammalia; Primates; Hominidae.